GUAGGGAAUAUUGGGCAAUGGAUGCAAGUCUGACCCAGCCAUCCCGCGUGCCGGAAGAAGGCCCUCAGGGUUGUAAACGGCUUUUGACGGUGAAGAAUCGACAGUAUGCGUCCUGUUUUGACGGUAGCCGUUGAAUAAGCACCGGCUAACUCCGUGCCAGCAGCCGCGGUAAUACGGAGGGUGCGAGCGUUGUCCGGAUUUAUUGGGUUUAAAGGGUGCGUAGGCUGGAAGGUCAGUCAGCGGUGAAAAGCUGUCGCUUAACGAUAGUCUUGCCGCAGAUACUUCCUUUCUUGGAUGAGGAGGAGGCCACUGGAACGGAUGGUGUAGCGGUGAAAUGCAUAGAUAUCAUCCAGAACACCGAUUGCGAAGGCAGGUGGCUGUACCUUAAUCGACGCUGAUGCACGAAAGCAUGGGGAGCAAACAGGAUUAGAAACCCCAGUAGUCC
RNAcentral lists this ribosomal RNA (445 nucleotides) under uncultured bacterium. RNAcentral's name for it is "partial 16S ribosomal RNA". It matches the Rfam family "Bacterial small subunit ribosomal RNA", at positions 354 to 796 of the family's 1533-position model. The record is from RNAcentral.